UGGGGAAUUUUCCGCAAUGGGCGAAAGCCUGACGGAGCAAUACCGCGUGAGGGAUGAAAGCCUGUGGGUUGUAAACCUCUUUUCUCAAGGAAGAAGUUCUGACGGUACUUGAGGAAUAAGCAUCGGCUAACUCUGUGCCAGCAGCCGCGGUAAUACAGAGGAUGCAAGCGUUAUCCGGAAUCACUGGGCAUAAAGCGUCUGUAGGUUGCUUGUCAAGUCUGCUGUUAAAGAUCAGGGCCUAACCCUGGAAAAGCAGUGGAAACUAAUAGGCUUGAGUGUGGUAGAGGUAGAGGGAAUUCCUGGUGUAGCGGUGAAAUGCGUAGAUAUUAGGAAGAACACCAAUGGCGAAAGCACUCUACUGGGCCAUAACUGACACUGAGAGACG
Molecule: ribosomal RNA, 385 nt
Filed under: uncultured bacterium
Lineage: Bacteria
Description: bacterial SSU rRNA
Rfam family: Bacterial small subunit ribosomal RNA
Source: RNAcentral